GAGUUUGAUCCUGGCUCAGGAUGAACGCUGGCGGCGUGCUUAACACAUGCAAGUCGAACGAAGAUGCCGGAGUGCUUGCACUUUGGCAGACUGAGUGGCGGACGGGUGAGUAACGCGUGAGGAACCUGCCUCAAAGAGGGGGACAACAGUUGGAAACGACUGCUAAUACCGCAUAAGCCCACGGGUCGGCAUCGACCAGAGGGAAAAGGAGCAAUCCGCUUUGAGAUGGCCUCGCGUCCGAUUAGCUAGUUGGUGAGGUAAUGGCCCACCAAGGCGACGAUCGGUAGCCGGACUGAGAGGUUGAACGGCCACAUUGGGACUGAGACACGGCCCAGACUCCUACGGGAGGCAGCAGUGGGGAAUAUUGCACAAUGGGGGAAACCCUGAUGCAGCGACGCCGCGUGGAGGAAGAAGGUCUUCGGAUUGUAAACUCCUGUUGUUGAGGAAGAUAAUGACGGUACUCAACAAGGAAGUGACGGCUAACUACGUGCCAGCCGCCGCGGUAAUUC
This 509-nucleotide ribosomal RNA is filed under the name uncultured bacterium. Its description in RNAcentral is "bacterial SSU rRNA". It matches the Rfam family "Bacterial small subunit ribosomal RNA", at positions 9 to 526 of the family's 1533-position model. The record is from RNAcentral.